AAAGCAAAUAGAUCUUUUAUUUAUAAAAUAUAUCACUUUACAUUCCAUUGAUAAUAUAACUUAAAUAUGAAAGUCAAACUGUAUGAGCACUCUGUGACCUUACUAAUCAAAACACAUUCCCACAAAUUUCAAAUUUAGAAAAACUCCUACCCGUUUCCACCAUUAUUCUGAGUCAUAUUAUAUCUUGUAGCUGGCAUCAUGUUCACAUUGUUAAGACCAUUGGUAUACAUCAAGUUUUAAUCGUUGAUCGCAUCCGAUCCCCCCACCAUCAUGUUCUGGUCAUUGUUCAUCAUCAUAUGAUCGGCUGGAACCAAGUUUUGAUCAUUGUUGAUCAUCAGAUUUGCCGCCGGUAGCAUCAUGUUUGUAGGGUUACUACUGAUAGGCAUGACAUUAGAGACCAUGUUUGGAUUAUUGGGAAUCAUGGAAUUGGACAAGGGAAUGUUUGGAUUAUUGUUGUUGAGCAUGUCACGAAGCAUCUUCAUAUAAGCUGCAGGAUUAACCAUGUUAGGAUUAAUCAUGCUGGGACUAAUCACGUUUGGAUUAACCUUGUUUGAAUUAACCCUAUUCUUGUUCGGAUUAACCAUGUUUAUGGGACAACCGAUAGCAUUUAAGGGGAUAGAUUCAAAUGGAAGUCCAGUUCCAUUGGAAAAGCUUCCAAGAAAAAGUUGAUCAUCAGAAUUAGGAUUAAUAUUGUUCUCUUCAGCAUCAUUUUCUUUGGCGACUUUU
Molecule: long non-coding RNA, 726 nt
Filed under: Carica papaya (papaya)
Lineage: Eukaryota; Viridiplantae; Streptophyta; Magnoliopsida; Brassicales; Caricaceae
Description: long non-coding RNA (CPAP_LNC016501)
Source: RNAcentral